This 264-nucleotide ribosomal RNA is filed under the name uncultured archaeon. Its description in RNAcentral is "partial 16S ribosomal RNA". It matches the Rfam family "Archaeal small subunit ribosomal RNA", at positions 719 to 982 of the family's 1478-position model. The record is from RNAcentral.
AGUCACUGACAUUAGAUACCCGGGUAGUCCAGGGUGUAAACGCUGCAGACUUGGUGUUGGAAGUCCUUUGGGGGCAUUCAGUGCCGGAGAGAAGUUGUUAAGUCUGCUACUUGGGGAGUACGUCCGCAAGGAUGAAACUUAAAGGAAUUGGCGGGGAGCACCGCAACGGGAGGAGCGUGCGGUUUAAUUGGAUUCAACACCGUAAGACUCACCAGGGAAGACUGUUACAUGAAGGCCGAGAUGAAGACUCUGCUAGAUUUUCAG